This 529-nucleotide long non-coding RNA is filed under the name Hordeum vulgare. Its description in RNAcentral is "long non-coding RNA (HVUL_LNC006371)". The record is from RNAcentral. Lineage: Eukaryota; Viridiplantae; Streptophyta; Magnoliopsida; Poales; Poaceae.
ACGCUUCUCCCAGAUAACGGUUGCUAUAUACUAGGAUUUUCGUUCGAGAGCGGAAGAAAUCGAUCGAUGGGUCGACCAAAUUUCCCCAAUAUUCCCCUCGAACAAAUAAGUUUCCCAAAUAUGUCCAAAUCCCUAGCGGCGGCCGCUGGUCUCUCCGGUCUCCACUCCACCCGCGCUCGCCGGCGCUGCCAGCCCGCCACCCCUUGACCUCGACGGGCCACGGCUCCGCCUGCCUACCUGCCCACGCCGCCGCUCGUCUCUCCACCCGUGCACGCCGGCCCCGCCGCUCCCUGCCUCCCUGUUCGGCUGCUCAGGGGAGGAGGCAGAGGAAGCGGCCAGCCGCACACGGUCAGGCGACAGAGGCAGUUUCCAGCAGCAGCAGCAGGUCUUUCCCCCCUGCACUUCCCGCUCUUCUAUGUGUACAAUCUUUCUGUGCCACACAGCCACACCUUGUCUGAAUUUCAUGGCUUGUAAGGUGUAAUAGUAGAAAACACCACGGAAGCCUAAUCCCGAAGUUUUUGCUUUCGUC